GGCACCGCCCGCGGCGCCGCUCCCUUCACGAACCAUAAACUCAUGGAAUAGUAGAAUUACAGAUUUAUAGAAUCAUGGAGUCAUCAAGGUUGGAAGAGACCCUUAAGACCAUCAAGUCUAACCGUCAGCGCAGCACUGGCCCUGUGACCCCUAAACCAUGUCACCCAGCCCCUGAUCCAGAUGCCUCUUAGACACCUCCAGGGAUGGUGACUCCACCACGUUCCUGGCAACCUGGCAUCAUCCACACAGAAUCACAGAAUCAGGCUGGAAAAGCCCUGAGAACUACAUGUUUCACCUGCUGAACAUCCUUUACCCAAAUGUAUUGAAGAAACUUCUUGUUAUCCAUAAGCAGAGGGGACGUAUCUUUAGCUGCAUUUAAUGACGUGUAGUGCCCAAUGUAAGAACAUCUCAGUCAAAGAAGAAACCUCAUAAUUAGAUGAUUGUCAAGAAAAUAAGUGCUUGGCCUUGCUUACCAGUUGAAUGUUUGACAGAGCAGACACUCCAGAAAGACAACACAGAUGCAUGAGUAGAUAAUUACUCAUUUUAACUAUGUUGAAACAAAAGAUGUCAGCAUGUGUGAACUCUGUAGUAGGAACUGGCCACUCUGAAGCUGUUGGUUCUGUGUGAGCCCAUAGGAGAAGUGGCUGGGAGGGAGUUUCAUCCCAGCUGUGGGAGUCCUUGGUAAAAGAGCUCUGCUGAACCACACGUGUGCUCUCACAUCCCUGUCAGGGACUCUGUCAUGAAGUUUCUCUUCUCUGAUCUGUUGUUCAAAAUAGCAACUGCUCCUUGGCAUGACCUACUUAAAGGCUGACACAACAAAGCUGUGUGCUCAAAGAGGGCACUGUGUUAUCUCUGCUGGCGCCAAGAUGUGUCAGAAGAGCAGCCUUGAGGACUCGUGUUUAAAGAUGUGGUCUCAUGAGAACACGGCAGAGACCAAGCAUCCUGGAAAGUUUCCCAUUUUGUGGCAGUAACAGAAUGUGCUUUCUUUGCCAGUUGAGAAUAUAUUUGCUGUCUCCUAUGUUGUUAUGUAAUGUCUAUAGCAUAUAUUUUUUGACACUUAGCUUAAGAGACUCUGUUUAAAAGUAAUAUAUUAUAAUGAGAAAAAACUCUAUCUCUGUUGUAAUAAAAAGUGAAUUAUUCUGUUUGCUGUUUAAGCCUAGUAUGCCCUAUGUAGCUGACAAUCAGUUUGGUAACGUUUCUUAGUAAAGACCAACGUCUUUUAUUAAAGCAAUUUAUGUAAGGAA
Passer domesticus (house sparrow) is the source of this 1244-nucleotide long non-coding RNA. RefSeq lists it as uncharacterized. The transcript is spliced from 2 exons. The record is from RefSeq and is a predicted model, not a curated record. NCBI's taxonomy places the organism in Eukaryota, Metazoa, Chordata, Aves, Passeriformes, Passeridae.